This 465-nucleotide ribosomal RNA is filed under the name uncultured bacterium. RNAcentral's name for it is "partial 16S ribosomal RNA". It matches the Rfam family "Bacterial small subunit ribosomal RNA", at positions 339 to 795 of the family's 1533-position model. The record is from RNAcentral.
CUACGGGUUGCAGCAGUGAGGAAUUUUGCGCAAUGGGGGAAACCCUGACGCAGCAACGCCGCGUGAGUGAAGAAGGCCUUUGGGUCGUAAAGCUCUGUCAACAGGGAAGAAGUUACAAUUGUUUAAUAAAUGAUUGUAUUGACGGUACCUGUGGAGGAAGCGCCGGCUAACUCCGUGCCAGCAGCCGCGGUAACACGGGGGGCGCAGGCGUUAUUCGGAAUUAUUGGGCGUAAAGGGCGCGCAGGCGGUCUUGUCCGUCAGGUGUGAAAGCUCGGGGCUCAACCCCGGAAGUGCACUUGAAACAGCAAGACGUGAAUACGGGAGAGGAAAGCGGAAUUCCUGGUGUAGAGGUGAAAUUCGUAGAUAUCAGGAGGAACACCGAUGGCGAAGGCAGCUUUCUGGACCGAUAUUGACGCUGAGGCGCGAAGGCGUGGGGAGCGAACGGGAUUAGAUACCCUAGUAGUC